Molecule: ribosomal RNA, 465 nt
Filed under: Vreelandella stevensii
Lineage: Bacteria; Pseudomonadati; Pseudomonadota; Gammaproteobacteria; Oceanospirillales; Halomonadaceae
Description: partial 16S ribosomal RNA
Rfam family: Bacterial small subunit ribosomal RNA
Source: RNAcentral
CCUACGGGCGGCAGCAGUGGGGAAUAUUGGACAAUGGGCGAAAGCCUGAUCCAGCCAUGCCGCGUGUGUGAAGAAGGCCUUCGGGUUGUAAAGCACUUUCAGUGGGGAAGAAAGCCUUGGGGCUAAUACCCUCGAGGAAGGACAUCACCCACAGAAGAAGCACCGGCUAACUCCGUGCCAGCAGCCGCGGUAAUACGGAGGGUGCGAGCGUUAAUCGGAAUUACUGGGCGUAAAGCGCGCGUAGGUGGUCUGAUAAGCCGGUUGUGAAAGCCCCGGGCUCAACCUGGGAACGGCAUCCGGAACUGUCAGGCUAGAGUGCAGGAGAGGAAGGUAGAAUUCCCGGUGUAGCGGUGAAAUGCGUAGAGAUCGGGAGGAAUACCAGUGGCGAAGGCGGCCUUCUGGACUGACACUGACGCUGAGGUGCGAAAGCGUGGGUAGCAAACAGGAUUAGAUACCCGAGUAGUC